This 497-nucleotide ribosomal RNA is filed under the name uncultured bacterium. RNAcentral describes it as "partial 16S ribosomal RNA". It matches the Rfam family "Bacterial small subunit ribosomal RNA", at positions 28 to 507 of the family's 1533-position model. The record is from RNAcentral.
GAUGAACGCUGGCGGCGUGCCUAAUACAUGCAAGUCGAGCGAACAGACGAGGAGCUUGCUCCUCUGACGUUAGCGGCGGACGGGUGAGUAACACGUGGAUAGCCUACCUAUAAGACUGGGAUAACAUCGGGAAACCGGAGCUAAUACCGGAUAAUAUAUUGAACCGCAUGGUUCAAUAGUGAAAGACGGUUUUGCUGUCACUUAUAGAUGGAUCCGCGCCGCAUUAGCUAGUUGGUAAGGUAACGGCUUACCAAGGCAACGAUGCGUAGCCGACCUGAGAGGGUGAUCGGCCACACUGGAACUGAGACACGGUCCAGACUCCUACGGGAGGCAGCAGUAGGGAAUCUUCCGCAAAGGGCGAAAGCCUGACGGAGCAACGCCGCGUGAGUGAUGAAGGUCUUCGGAUCGUAAAACUCUGUUAUUAGGGAAGAACAAAUGUGUAAGUAACUAUGCACGUCUUGACGGUACCUAAUCAGAAAGCCACGGCUAACUACGUG